GGAGAGACACACCAUCAAUCAAUUUAGUGGGUGUGUGUGGUCUAUUUACUAUGAUACCUCAUAUAUCAUAGUCAAAUGCUUGAAUAAAAAUUUUCAUCCAAGCUUUCCAAAGUGAAGGUCGGUUUGUGGAUUGCCCCUCGGCUAGGAAUGUGCCAAAUUGGUUUACCAUUGAUCUUUGAUUCUUGAUGGUUAAAUCAAGUA
RNAcentral lists this long non-coding RNA (201 nucleotides) under Elaeis guineensis (African oil palm). RNAcentral's name for it is "long non-coding RNA (EGUI_LNC052560)". The record is from RNAcentral. Lineage: Eukaryota; Viridiplantae; Streptophyta; Magnoliopsida; Arecales; Arecaceae.